Molecule: ribosomal RNA, 483 nt
Filed under: uncultured bacterium
Lineage: Bacteria
Description: partial 16S ribosomal RNA
Rfam family: Bacterial small subunit ribosomal RNA
Source: RNAcentral
AUUGAACGCUGGCGGCAGGCCUAACACAUGCAAGUCGAGCGGAUGAAGGGAGCUUGCUCCUGGAUUCAGCGGCGGACGGGUGAGUAAUGCCUAGGAAUCUGCCUGGUAGUGGGGGAUAACGUCCGGAAACGGGCGCUAAUACCGCAUACGUCCUGAGGGAGAAAGUGGGGGAUCUUCGGACCCCACGCUAUCAGAUGAGCCUAGGUCGGAUUAGCUAGUUGGUGGGGUAAAGGCCUACCAAGGCGACGAUCCGUAACUGGUCUGAGAGGAUGAUCAGUCACACUGGAACUGAGACACGGUCCAGACUCCUACGGGAGGCAGCAGUGGGGAAUAUUGGACAAUGGGCGAAAGCCUGAUCCAGCCAUGCCGCGUGUGUGAAGAAGGUCUUCGGAUUGUAAAGCACUUUAAGUUGGGAGGAAGGGCAGUAAGUUAAUACCUUGCUGUUUUGACGUUACCAACAGAAUAAGCACCGGCUAACUUCGU